This is a non-coding RNA of Microcebus murinus (gray mouse lemur), 528 nucleotides long. NCBI's taxonomy places the organism in Eukaryota, Metazoa, Chordata, Mammalia, Primates, Cheirogaleidae. The record is from RefSeq and is a predicted model, not a curated record.
AAAGACAAACCUAUCAAAAAUAAUAACUACAGGAGAGCAGGACGUCUGGCUUCUGACUGGGAACCUUCGUGCCGUCAGCAACCAAAGAGAGAAUCAAAUAUGGGUGAUGUUGAGAAAGGCAAGAAGAUUUUUGUUCAGAAGUGUGCCCAGUGCCACACUGUGGAAAAGGGAGGAAAGCACAAGACUGGGCCAAAUCUCCAUGGUUUCUUUGGGAGAAAGACAGGUCAGGCUGCUGGAUUCUCUUACACAGACGCCAAUAAGAACAAAGGCAUCACCUGGGGAGAGGACACACUGAUGGAGUAUUUGGAGAAUCCCAAGAAGUACAUCCCUGGAACAGAAAUGAUCUUCGCCAGCAUUAAGAAGAAGGGAGAAAGGGCAGACUUGAUAGCUUAUCUCAAAAAAGCCACUAAUGAGUAAUAAUUGGCCACUGCCUUAUUUAUUACAAACCAGAAAUAUCUCAUAACUUUUUUUAUGUGUACCAUAAUUUAAUUGGUCUCAUACACCAGAAUUCAGAUCAUGAAAGAGUGA